This 253-nucleotide ribosomal RNA is filed under the name uncultured bacterium. Its description in RNAcentral is "partial 16S ribosomal RNA". It matches the Rfam family "Bacterial small subunit ribosomal RNA", at positions 524 to 776 of the family's 1533-position model. The record is from RNAcentral.
GACGUAGGGCGCGAGCGUUGUCCGGAUUUAUUGGGCGUAAAGAGCUCGUAGGCGGCUUGUCGCGUCGUCCGUGAAAACCUGUGGCUCAACUGCAGGCUUGCGGUCGAUACGGGCAGGCUAGAGUGCGGUAGGGGAGACUGGAAUUCCUGGUGUAGCGGUGAAAUGCGCAGAUAUCAGGAGGAACACCGGUGGCGAAGGCGGUUCUCUGGGCCUUACCUGACGCUGAGGAGCGAAAGCGUGGGGAGCAAACAGG